RNAcentral lists this long non-coding RNA (725 nucleotides) under Lathyrus oleraceus (garden pea). RNAcentral's name for it is "Pisum sativum (pea) long non-coding RNA (PSAT_LNC006361)". The record is from RNAcentral. Lineage: Eukaryota; Viridiplantae; Streptophyta; Magnoliopsida; Fabales; Fabaceae.
AAUGCAUGACUUUGAAUUAAAAUGGCAUAUACAAAUACUGAUUACUUAGCUACUUAUUGUAUUUUUUUUUCAUCAUAGUAGCUUUCUUGAGGUGACUAUGUUUACUACACCAAAUCAUUAUUGAAAGAAUCAUUUAUCCUUAUUUCAUAUCUUUUUUUAAAAAAUCAAAUAUAUGUGUUAAACACUAAAACAAGAGAAUAUGUGGAUUUUUUACGAUUAAUUUUAUUGACUUAUAUUCUAAUGUGUUGAUAUUUGAGUUGUUUUAAAUUUGAAAAUCUAAAAUAAAAUAUAUUGAUAUCAAAAUAUGUUGUUUAAAAAAAUUACAAUGAAAAAAAGAAAUAAAAAAAAUGACGUUUUUAUGGUCAAAGAUGGGUUAAAGUUAUGAAAAACAAGACAAAUAGUGAAAAUAACGUAGAGCUACUUUUGUUAUAAACAUGAAACCUAUUAGAUGGAUACAUGGCAAAAGAGCUAAGUUUGCUUUUUUACAUAGAAAAACAAGACAAAUAGUGAAAAUAACGUAGAGCUACUUUUGUUAUAAACAUGAAACCUAUUAGAUGGAUACAUGGCAAAAGAGCUAAGUUUGCUUUUUUACAUUAUAGGAUGGGUUGAAGCACUCCAAAUGCAUGACUUUGAAUUAAAAUGGCAUAUACAAAUACUGAUUACUUAGCUACUUAUUGUAUUUUUUUUCAUCAUAGUAGCCUUCUUGAGGUGACUAUGUUUACUAC